GCCUGAGUGGCUCAGUCGGUUAAGCAUCUGACUUCUGCUCAGGUCAUGAUCUCACAGUUUGUGGGUUCGAGCCCCACGUCGGGCU
Molecule: transfer RNA, 85 nt
Filed under: Felis catus (domestic cat)
Lineage: Eukaryota; Metazoa; Chordata; Mammalia; Carnivora; Felidae
Rfam family: tRNA
About the family: Transfer RNA (tRNA) molecules are approximately 80 nucleotides in length. Their secondary structure includes four short double-helical elements and three loops (D, anti-codon, and T loops). Further hydrogen bonds mediate the characteristic L-shaped molecular structure. tRNAs have two regions of fundamental functional importance: the anti-codon, which is responsible for specific mRNA codon recognition, and the 3' end, to which the tRNAs corresponding amino acid is attached (by aminoacyl-tRNA synthetases). tRNAs cope with the degeneracy of the genetic code in two manners: having more than one tRNA (with a specific anti-codon) for a particular amino acid; and 'wobble' base-pairing, i.e. permitting non-standard base-pairing at the 3rd anti-codon position.
Source: Rfam by way of RNAcentral